UCGGGGGUCGUCUAAUGGUAGGACAUUAGGCUCUGGACCUAAGAAUCGGGGUUCAAAUCCCUGCCCCCGAG
The sequence is a transfer RNA, 71 nucleotides long. It matches the Rfam family "tRNA". Rfam says of the family: Transfer RNA (tRNA) molecules are approximately 80 nucleotides in length. Their secondary structure includes four short double-helical elements and three loops (D, anti-codon, and T loops).